This 84-nucleotide transfer RNA is filed under the name Sandaracinus sp. Its description in RNAcentral is "tRNA-Leu". It matches the Rfam family "tRNA". From Rfam's summary of the family: Transfer RNA (tRNA) molecules are approximately 80 nucleotides in length. Lineage: Bacteria; Pseudomonadati; Myxococcota; Polyangiales; Sandaracinaceae. The record is from RNAcentral. RNAcentral also lists the same sequence under 1 other name.
GCGGACGUGGCGAAAGUGGCAGCCGCGCCAGCUCGAGGGGUUGGUGGUCUCCGUACCGUGAGGGUUCGAGUCCCUCCGUCCGCA